RNAcentral lists this ribosomal RNA (498 nucleotides) under uncultured bacterium. RNAcentral's name for it is "partial 16S ribosomal RNA". It matches the Rfam family "Bacterial small subunit ribosomal RNA", at positions 28 to 507 of the family's 1533-position model. The record is from RNAcentral.
GACGAACGCUGGCGGCGUGCCUAAUACAUGCAAGUCGAACGAGAGCGACCGGUGCUUGCACUGGUCAAUCUAGUGGCGAACGGGUGAGUAACACGUGGGUAACCUGCCCAUCAGAGGGGGAUAACAUUCGGAAACGGAUGCUAAAACCGCAUAGGUCUUCGAACCGCAUGGUUUGAAGAGGAAAAGAGGCGCAAGCUUCUGCUGAUGGAUGCACCCGCGGUGCAUUAGCUAGUUGGUGAGGUAACGGCUCACCAAGGCCGUGAUGCAUAGCCGACCUGAGAGGGUGAUCGGCCACAUUGGGACUGAGACACGGCCCAAACUCCUACGGGAGGCAGCAGUAGGGAAUCUUCCGCAAUGGACGCAAGUCUGACGGAGCAACGCCGCGUGAGUGAAGAAGGUUUUCGGAUCGUAAAACUCUGUUGUUAGAGAAGAAUAAGUGCUAGAGUAACUGUUAGCGCCUUGACGGUAUCUAACCAGAAAGCCACGGCUAACUACGUG